GUGCUCACUUUGGCAGCACAUAUACUAAAAUUGGAACAAUACAGAAAAGAUCAGCAUGGCCCCUGCACAAAGAUAACACACAAAUUUGUGAAGUGUCCCAUAUUUUU
RNAcentral lists this small nuclear RNA (107 nucleotides) under Marmota marmota marmota (Alpine marmot). The record is from RNAcentral. Lineage: Eukaryota; Metazoa; Chordata; Mammalia; Rodentia; Sciuridae.